This 24-nucleotide microRNA is filed under the name Oreochromis niloticus (Nile tilapia). RNAcentral describes it as "oni-miR-10976". Lineage: Eukaryota; Metazoa; Chordata; Actinopteri; Cichliformes; Cichlidae. The record is from miRBase by way of RNAcentral.
UGAGGCUCUGAUAGUCCCUGCACC